CCUACGGGUGGCAGCAGUGAGGAAUAUUGGUCAAUGGUCGGGAGACUGAACCAGCCAAGCCGCGUGAGGGAUGAAGGUACAGAGUAUCGUAAACCUCUUUUGUCAGGGAACAAAGGCGGGGACGUGUCCCCGGAUGAGUGUACCUGAAGAAAAAGCAUCGGCUAACUCCGUGCCAGCAGCCGCGGUAAUACGGAGGAUGCGAGCGUUAUCCGGAUUUAUUGGGUGUAAAGGGUGCGCCGGCGGGCUGGUAAGUCAGCCGGCAAAGCCCGGGGCUUAACCCCGGGCCCGCCGUUGAAACUGGCAGUCUCGAGUGGGAGAGAAGCAUGCGGAAUGCGCGGUGUAGCGGUGAAAUGCAUAGAUAUCGCGCAGAACUCCGAUUGCGAAGGCAGCAUGCCGGAUCGAAACUGACGCUGAGGCACGAAAGCGUGGGUAGCGAACAGGAUUAGAUACCCCGGUAGUC
This 460-nucleotide ribosomal RNA is filed under the name uncultured bacterium. RNAcentral's name for it is "partial 16S ribosomal RNA". It matches the Rfam family "Bacterial small subunit ribosomal RNA", at positions 338 to 795 of the family's 1533-position model. The record is from RNAcentral.